This 2856-nucleotide unclassified non-coding RNA is filed under the name Haliotis rufescens (red abalone). Its description in RNAcentral is "inactive rhomboid protein 1-like, transcript variant X6". Lineage: Eukaryota; Metazoa; Mollusca; Gastropoda; Lepetellida; Haliotidae. The record is from RNAcentral.
ACGGACACUUGCGUCAUUUCACAAUUCGUCAGUAUAAACGAAUUUCCGUAUAACUGAAACCAGCUUCUUACUGAAAGAGUGUAUAUAUAUAUAUAUAACUGGUAUGAACAUUUCCUGUGUUUUGUUUGAGAUUCAUUAGGACAUUGUCAUAACUUAAUCAUUUGUAUAUCAUUUCUCAAUGUUUCUUCCAUGCAUUUCUAUGAUUUGUUAAUUGUUAUAUAUAUUUCUGAUAUUAAAUUCUUGUAUUGUUUUUACAAAAUAAUAAAAGAAUAAUAUUGAGUGGUUAUGUUUGUUAUUUAUAUAAGAAUUUUCAUGUUUUAUGUGUGCAGUUUAAAAAGACAACGUUUAUAACUAGUACACAAUGUUACUAUUUUCCGUUUUUUUAGAGAUGUCGUAUUUUAGAAGUUAACAGGCAAGUGCACUUCCGGUUGAAUGGUUCGUCUGCUACAGAAAAGAAGACUGCAUGCAUCGUCGAACAGGAGUGUUACUUAGAGAGUGUCUGAAAUGCCUGCAGAAAGAAAAGGUGAACGAGUUUUACUCAUUGGUAAUUUGAAUUGAACACCUCGCCUUCAAAUAGCCCCAUUUCACAGUUUGACUACGACUGCUUUCGGUGUUAUUUCAGUAAAGAAAAAUGGUCUUCGCGAUCUCAUUUCUACACCCAGGGAGAAAUAACUGACAGAGAGCUAGGCAGUAUAGCAGGAGGGUUGUACAAUCAUGUGGGAGAAAUCAAAAUCAGCUGGUUCCUUUUUUCUUCAACCUGUUCGACCAUUCUUUUGGGCUGCAGAUGAUAGGGAGCUUAAGUCCUGGAAAAGUCAUUUUGAGAGGAGAAUUCAGACCGGUGACUUUGGCAUCACGCUACAGGCAGUGCUGCCAAGUAUUUUGGCACCCACGUCAUUUCAGAGAGACAAGCUUGUGAAACAAGUGGAGACAGUGCUUUCCCACAUGUCGGUCCUUGAACCAGAAGGAAGUUCAGAGGAACUGUUCAGGUGCUCCACUGUUGGUCUUAUUGGUCAACACUUACAUGAUCUCAGGAAGAAUUCGUUUGAGACUCCAAAGACAUCUUCUGACGUAAAACGUUCCACCCUGAGUUUGGAAGAGUUUGUAAUGUGUGAGAUGCAAGUGGCUGAUAUGGACAUAUUUCUGGACGCGUUGGACCUAGGGUUGUCAGACACAGAUCUUAAAGAAGAUGGCUUUGAGCAGAUUAGCAUUGAGGAAACUGUUGAUGACAUGCCUCGUUUUGUUUCACCAGAAGAACAUCCUGCAAAAGACAUACAGAAGUGGCGGGGGGAAGUGCAUCCCUCGAACCAACCCAACGACGUGAUGACUGCCCAGCCUGAUGUUAAGUAUGAGGGGGCUGCGGACGACCAUCACGUAAAGCCGCCAAACAAUUUUCAGAAUAACACCAUACAGAUUCCUGACAGCCUUGGAAAAAAUCAAGAUGAUUCAGUUGGUGAGAACAGCCAACAGGACACUAACAAUUCUGGAGGUGACAAGCAUAGUUGGUUUAGAAACAAAGUCGGUCCGAUUCCAUCCAACCAAAAUAACCACGCCGCUGAUAGUCCUUCAAAGAAUUCAGGGGAAAAGAAAAUACUUGGAAUGACAAAUAUGGCGUACCAGACGUCGGGACUUUCAUUAGGUUUUGCAGAGUCAGCCAAGAGGUUGAUUAGGGGAGUUUUAACGAACAGCGCAGAAAAGUUGAACGUCGAGGUAAUGAAAGAUGAUUCACCCUUGAUGGGUGUCGAGGGAUACAAACAUUACAAAAUGUUUGCAAUGAUAGAAUAUGCGACAGAACUGACACGUCUUGAGCAAGUGAAGGAGCAAACGGUCUCCGAGUACAAGUGGAAAAUACGCACAGUUGAGGAAGUCGGCGAGGUAGCAAAAGCCUACUAUCAUGACCCUGCUGGGCGUGGCAGGAGGAGAUGGAAUGAGCUGAGGAGGGAAAUUGCCCAACACAGCAAACACAGUAUCACGGACACCAGAGCCAAGUUGGCAACCCUGACUCAUUACAAGCCAAUCUUCACUUACGCUGUUAUGAUGCUUCAGGUUCUGGUGCUCGUUGUGAUGAUCUCCCUCAAUGGCAUGGCUACUGUGGAUGCUGCAUCUGGGCUGCACUUGCAGGAUAACACCAGGACCUUCCUGGGUGUCGAGACUGUGGACAGCCGGCAACAAGUCAACAUGUGGGUGGGGCCUUCUUCCAGUUUCUUCAUAGGAAUGGGUGCGUUGUUGAGUGUGUGCAUGAGGGAUGACCACAAUCUGCACAUGCAGGGAAUAGCACAGAACUACAGUGCAGACAACGCCCUGGGGUGUUGUGAGGUGAAGACCAGAAACACUGCAGCAACUACCACCCAGGAGGAGUGCCAGUCACUUACUCUAGGUGUAGGUCUCUGGAGGGAGGUACCCUGUGGCCAGAGACAACCUGGGGAGAACUAUGUGGAGCAUGUCCUCAAACCCUGCUGUACUGAUGAGAGGGGCACCUGCUUACUCCUAUCAAAUGAACACUGCAGUUUUCUCGGAGGAAUCUUUCAUGAAAAGGAAAAGGAACACUGUUCUCAGUUCCUUCCAAUGGUGGCGCCCACUCUUGUCUCUGGUGUACACCCAUGGUGUAGUACAUUUGCUGUUGCUGCUGGUGGCUGAGUGGCUACUUCUGCGGCAAGUGGAGAUGUCAGCUGGGUGUUUGCGGGUGGCCGUUAUAUAUUUCAUCUGUGGAGCCGCAGGUGGUAUGUGUGCAUCAGUUGUCUCCCCCUACAGCCCCCAGGUUUGCACGACAGCUGCCGUAAUGAGUUCACUAGGUGUAUUACACAUGGAGCUCAUCGAGGCUUGGACCCUUCUCACGCGACCAUGGCUGGAACUUGUCAA